Molecule: ribosomal RNA, 717 nt
Filed under: Triticum aestivum (bread wheat)
Lineage: Eukaryota; Viridiplantae; Streptophyta; Magnoliopsida; Poales; Poaceae
Description: partial small subunit ribosomal RNA
Source: RNAcentral
AUGGUCGGCGGCAGGAGGCUCUCGGAGCUGCUCCGGGAGCAGCAGGAGCCGUUCCUCCUCCUUCACGGAGAGCCCUGCUGCUCCUCCGUCCAAGACAGGGGCGCCAGGGCUUCUUGGCGUAGGGCCAUGAGGAGGGCGCUGCCGCGGUGGCGCUGGGCCGGCCUUGCCGCCGGAUGCUUCCCCUGCACCGCCCGCCGCAAGCGCGAGAGCUUCCGCCCUCUGCCGCGCGCGGGCCACGCGUGCUGCAACGACGAUGCUGUGGCUACGGAAUCCGACGGCGGCGACGGCGCGAGGCGGCUCAGCCCGGUGUCCGUCCUGGACGUGCUGCGCUGCUCCGACGAGGAGGAGGAGGCGUCGUCGUCGCCCACGCUUAGCCACUCAGGGGAGGAGGAAGACAACGACGAGAAGCCAUCGUGGACGCCAGCUGGGAGCUCGCCGCCACCACCCGACCCGCUCACCGACGAGAAGGAGGAGUGGAGGAAGGUGGUUUCGUCGUGGGAGCGGAUCGCGGGGGACAUCGCAAGGGUCCCGGCGCUUGCGGAGCUGGACCUUUCAAGCUCCAUGUCGGCGAGGGAGUGGGAGUGGCACGGGGAGUCGGAGGCAGAGCGGGUGGGCGCGAGCGUGGAGGCCAUCAUCUUCGAGGAGAUGAGCGCGGAGGCCGUGCGCGACAUGGUCGAUCGAGCUAUAGCGAGUCGGAGCGCUCCUAGUCCAAGCUAG